CUAUACAUGCAGUCGAGCGGAUCUUCAUUAGCUUGCUUUUGAAGAUCAGCGGCGGACGGGUGAGUAACACGUGGGCAACCUGCCUGUAAGACUGGGAUAACUUCGGGAAACCGGAGCUAAUACCGGAUAAUCCUUUCCCUCACAUGAGGGAAAGCUGAAAGACGGUUUCGGCUGUCACUUACAGAUGGGCCCGCGGCGCAUUAGCUAGUUGGUGAGGUAACGGCUCACCAAGGCAACGAUGCGUAGCCGACCUGAGAGGGUGAUCGGCCACACUGGGACUGAGACACGGCCCAGACUCCUACGGGAGUCAACAGACAUUGGAAUCUUCCGCUAUAGACGAUCGUCUUACGAUAGCCAGGCCUGCGUGAGCGUAUGAGGAUUCUUAUUCCGUAACAUACAUCGCUUGUGCUAGAUCGAGUGGAGACACAACGUAGCCACGCAGCUAUGUUGACCUGUAUUCCUCGAGAGUAGGCAUAGACGCAGAUAUCGUCUACGGCUGAUUCAGCGUGACCAGCCAGACGCUGGUUAAUAUGUUAUGUCGGCAAGCUGUUGUACUAGAAAUUACUGGGCGUAAACGCGCGCGCAGGGCGGCUUCCUUAAGUCUGAUGUGAAAAGCCCCGGCUCAACCGGGGAGGGUCAUUGGAAAUUGGGGAACUUGAGUGCAGAAGAGGAGAGCGGAAUUUCCACGUGUAGCGGUGAAAUGCGUAGAGAUGUGGAGGAACACCAGUGGCGAAGGCGGCUCUCUGGUCUGUAACUGACGCUGAGGCGCGAAAGCGUGGGGAGCGAACAGGAUUAGAUACCCUGGUAGUCCACGCCGUAAACGAUGAGUGCUAAGUGUUAGAGGGUUUCCGCCCUUUAGUGCUGCAGCAAACGCAUUAAGCACUCCGCCUGGGGAGUACGGCCGCAAGGCUGAAACUCAAAGGAAUUGACGGGGGCCCGCACAAGCGGUGGAGCAUGUGGUUUAAUUCGAAGCAACGCGAAGAACCUUACCAGGUCUUGACAUCCUCUGACAACCCUAGAGAUAGGGCGUUCCCCUUCGGGGGACAGAGUGACAGGUGGUGCAUGGUUGUCGUCAGCUCGUGUCGUGAGAUGUUGGGUUAAGUCCCGCAACGAGCGCAACCCUUGAUCUUAGUUGCCAGCAUUCAGUUGGGCACUCUAAGGUGACUGCCGGUGACAAACCGGAGGAAGGUGGGGAUGACGUCAAAUCAUCAUGCCCCUUAUGACCUGGGCUACACACGUGCUACAAUGGAUGGAACAAAGGGCUGCAAAACCGCGAGGUCGAGCCAAUCCCAUAAAUCCAUUCUCAGUUCGGAUUGCAGGCUGCAACUCGCCUGCAUGAAGCCGGAAUCGCUAGUAAUCGCGGAUCAGCAUGCCGCGGUGAAUACGUUCCCGGGCCUUGUACACACCGCCCGUCACACCACGAGAGUUUGUAACACCCGAAGUCGGUGGGGUAACCUUUGGAGCCAGCCGCCUA
This 1474-nucleotide ribosomal RNA is filed under the name Mesobacillus subterraneus. RNAcentral describes it as "bacterial SSU rRNA". It matches the Rfam family "Bacterial small subunit ribosomal RNA". The record is from RNAcentral. Lineage: Bacteria; Bacillati; Bacillota; Bacilli; Caryophanales; Bacillaceae.